GUCUAGCGAGACUGCCAGUGAUAAACUGGAGGAAGAUGGGGAUGACGUCAAAUCAUCAUGCCCCUUAUGACCUGGGCUACAAACGUGAUACAAUGGCUGAAACAAAGGGCAGCGAAGGAGCGAUCUGGAGCGAAACCCAAAAAAGCAGUCUCAGUUCGGAUUGAAGUCUGCAACUCGACUUCAUGAAGUCGGAAUCGCUAGUAAUCGCGGAUCAGAACGCCGCGGUGAAUACGUUCUCGGGGUUU
RNAcentral lists this ribosomal RNA (245 nucleotides) under uncultured Acholeplasma sp. RNAcentral's name for it is "partial 16S ribosomal RNA". It matches the Rfam family "Bacterial small subunit ribosomal RNA", at positions 1138 to 1382 of the family's 1533-position model. Lineage: Bacteria; Bacillati; Mycoplasmatota; Mollicutes; Acholeplasmatales; Acholeplasmataceae. The record is from RNAcentral.